Non-coding RNA from Phrynosoma platyrhinos (Desert horned lizard), 72 nucleotides. The record is from the annotation of a GenBank genome assembly. Lineage: Eukaryota; Metazoa; Chordata; Lepidosauria; Squamata; Phrynosomatidae.
GCCAGGAUGGCGUAGUGGUUUGAGUGCUGAACUACAACUCCAGAGACCAGAGUUCAAUUCCAAGCUCAACCA